UUCCAGACUCCUACGGGAGGCAGCAGUGGGGAAUAUUGCACAAUGGGGGAAACCCUGAUGCAGCAACGCCGCGUGAGUGAAGAAGUAUUUCGGUAUGUAAAGCUCUGUCAGCAGGGAAGAAGAAAGACGGUACCUGACCAAGAAGCCCCGGCUAACUACGUGCCAGCAGCCGCGGUAAUACGUAGGGGGCAAGCGUUAUCCGGAUUUACUGGGUGUAAAGGGAGCGUAGACGGCAGGGCAAGUCUGGAGUGAAAGGCAGGGGCCCAACCCCUGGACUGCUCUGGAAACUGUCCGGCUGGAGUGCAGGAGAGGUAAGUGGAAUUCCUAGUGUAGCGGUGAAAUGCGUAGAUAUUAGGAGGAACACCAGUGGCGAAGGCGGCUUACUGGACUGUAACUGACGUUGAGGCUCGAAAGCGUGGGGAGCAAACAGGAUUAGAUACCCGUGUACU
This 449-nucleotide ribosomal RNA is filed under the name uncultured bacterium. RNAcentral describes it as "bacterial SSU rRNA". It matches the Rfam family "Bacterial small subunit ribosomal RNA", at positions 329 to 794 of the family's 1533-position model. The record is from RNAcentral.